CCUACGGGGCGCAGCAGUGAGGAAUAUUGGUCAAUGGACGAGAGUCUGAACCAGCCAAGUAGCGUGAAGGAUGACUGCCCUAUGGGUUGUAAACUUCUUUUAUAUGGGAAUAAAACGUUCCACGUGUGGGAUUUUGUAUGUACCAUAUGAAUAAGGAUCGGCUAACUCCGUGCCAGCAGCCGCGGUAAUACGGAGGAGCCGAGCGUUAUCCGGAUUUAUUGGGUUUAAAGGGAGCGUAGGUGGAUUGUUAAGUCAGUUGUGAAAGUUUGCGGCUCAACCGUAAAAUUGCAGUUGAAACUGGCAGUCUUGAGUACAGUAGAGGUGGGCGGAAUGCGUGGUGUAGCGGUGAAAUGCUUAGAUAUCACGAAGAACUCCGAUUGCGAAGGCAGUUCACUGGACUGCAACUGACACUGAGGCUCGAAAGUGUGGGUAUCAAACAGGAUUAGAUACCCGGGUAGUC
RNAcentral lists this ribosomal RNA (460 nucleotides) under uncultured bacterium. RNAcentral describes it as "partial 16S ribosomal RNA". It matches the Rfam family "Bacterial small subunit ribosomal RNA", at positions 338 to 795 of the family's 1533-position model. The record is from RNAcentral.